GCCCCAAUGGCGUAGUGGUUAGAGUGUCCACCUCAGAUGCGAGAGAUCGUGGGUUCGAACCCCAGCUGAGUCA
Non-coding RNA from Potamilus streckersoni, 73 nucleotides. The record is from the annotation of a GenBank genome assembly. NCBI's taxonomy places the organism in Eukaryota, Metazoa, Mollusca, Bivalvia, Unionida, Unionidae.